Molecule: ribosomal RNA, 560 nt
Filed under: uncultured amoeba
Lineage: Eukaryota
Description: SSU rRNA
Rfam family: Eukaryotic small subunit ribosomal RNA
Source: RNAcentral
GCAGUUAAAAAGCUYGUAGUURGAUUUYGGGAAGGUCUUUAGUGGUCSGCCCCUUCGGGGAGCGGGUCACUGGCCUCKUAAGUUCCUAACGGUCCUCAUCCGCGAGGGUGGGGAAUCAACCGCUAGGAUCGUUUACUUUGAGGAAAUUAGAGUGUUCAAAGCAGGCGUAACUCGCCUCCGAAUACGUUAGCAUGGGAUAAUGGAAUACGACUUCGGUCUUGUUUCGUUGGUUUCGCUUGGCUGAAGUAAUGAUUGAUAGGGACAGUUGGGGGCAUUAGUAUUUAGUUGUCAGAGGUGAAAUUCUAGGAUUUACUAAAGACUGACCAAUGCGAAAGCAUUUGCCAAGGAUGUUUUCAUUAAUCAAGAACGAAAGUAGGGGGAUYGAAGACGAUCAGAUACCGUCGUAGUCUCUACCGUAAACUAUGCCGACCAGGGAUCCGGAGAGUUUGCAUGGAUGACUCCCCGGGCACCUUGGAGAAAUCAUAAGUGUUUGGGUUUUGGGGGGAGUAUGGUCGGCAAGGCUGAACUAAAGGAAAUGACGGAAGGRCCCCCCAAUAAGU